RNAcentral lists this ribosomal RNA (253 nucleotides) under uncultured bacterium. RNAcentral describes it as "partial 16S ribosomal RNA". It matches the Rfam family "Bacterial small subunit ribosomal RNA", at positions 524 to 776 of the family's 1533-position model. The record is from RNAcentral.
UACGUAUGGUGCAAGCGUUAUCCGGAUGUACUGGGUGUAAAGGGAGCGCAGGCGGCACGGCAAGCCUGAUGUGAAAGCCCGCGGCCCAACCGCGGGACUGCAUUGGGAACUACCGGGCUGGAGUGCCGGAGAGGUAGGCGGAAUUCCUAGUGUAGCGGUGAAAUGCGUAGAUAUUAGGAGGAACACCAGUGGCGAAGGCGGCCUACUGGACGGUGACUGACGCUGAGGCUCGAAAGCGUGGGGAGCAAACAGG